Molecule: unclassified non-coding RNA, 378 nt
Filed under: uncultured Parachlamydiaceae bacterium
Lineage: Bacteria; Pseudomonadati; Chlamydiota; Chlamydiia; Parachlamydiales; Parachlamydiaceae
Description: contains 16S-23S intergenic spacer region
Source: RNAcentral
UCCUGGUUAACCCAGGCAGUCUCAUUAGAGUUCCCACCAUUACGUGCUGGCAACUAAUGAUAAGGGUUGCGCUCGUUGCUGGACUUAACCAAACACCUCACGGCACGAGCUGACGACAGCCAUGCAGCACCUGUUCACAGGCUCCGAAGAGCUAAGACAUUUCUAUCUUAUUCCUGUGUAUGUCAAGUCUGGGUAAGGUUCUUCGCGUUGCAUCGAAUUAAACCACAUACUCCACUGCUUGUGCGGGUCCCCGUCAAUUCUUUUGAGUUUCACCCUUGCGAGCGUACUCCCCAGGCGGUAUACUUAUCGCGUUUGCUACGGCACAACCAGGGUUGAGUCCGGUUACACCAAGUAUACAUCGUUUACGGCAAGGACUAC